Drosophila melanogaster (fruit fly) is the source of this 1175-nucleotide non-coding RNA. Lineage: Eukaryota; Metazoa; Arthropoda; Insecta; Diptera; Drosophilidae. The record is from Ensembl.
GUAGCAUUUUGUUUUAAGCCAUUUAAAUCCAUCUUACUUAUUGCUAGUUACAUUUAGCUGAUUGCUAGCUGCCCUUUUUUUUUGAGUUUUCACAGAUAUUUGUUGAGGGAUUAAUUGUGAACACGCCAUCUGAACGGUAGUCGGCGUCCCAAUCGCGACGCAGAUGCCCCACUUCUGGAACUAUUUGUACCGCCAUCAAUUGGUCCCUGGACCGCCGAACUCGGCAUCGUACCCGCGGACAGGGACACGGACGAGGUUGAGGUUGAGGACUCGACCCAGCUGCCGUAUCCGAGAUUCAGCGAUAUAAAUAAAUUGGCCAGCCACCGCCGAAUGCCUGUUGCCUCAAUUAUUUUCAUGUUAACAUAAUAAUUUAGUAUGGCAAAACGAUUCGCUCGGCAGCGAUAAGCCAUUUGCUGGCUGACUGGCUGGCUGGCUGGCUGGGACGGAACUGUAGCCGAAGCUGGAGCAUCUUGGCCGCGCAGAUCUUGGCCAGAUCCCGCCAGCACCAGUGCAUCUCCAUCUCGGCGCGCGGCGGUGCAUGUCUGAUUUUCUAUAGAAUUGUUUGCCGCCGCACUGCAGCCCACGUACAUGUAUGUAUACAUACAUAUAUCCACCAUGUGUUGACAAUGAAGACGGUCACUUUCCUGACUUUCUGGACUUACUGGACAAACGCGACAAACGCGAGGAUCGAAAGAUCGGAAGAUCGCAAACGGGAACGGCCCAAGAACAAAUAGAGUUUCAGAUCUUCAGUCAAUUCCCAUAGUCUGGCCGAUGCUGGCGAUCGCUCCAUCUCCAUCUUCCAGCUCCCAGCUCCCGCCGCUGACGUAGUUAUUGCUGUCGAUGCAUCUUAAUCUGCCCAGGCUGGCAUUUAAUCUCGUCCAUUGUCUUUCGACCACAACCAAUGAUCACGGCCAGGAGCUGCAAGCUGGGAAUCGCGAACUGGGCAUCUGGUAAUCUCAGCGAGAAGCUGGCAGAUGGGGCAGCGGGAGCAGCGUUGGAAUGUGUAUAUAAUUUGGUUACAGUGCUACUCUGCCGACUCUCCUCUCUAUUCAAUUAGCGCAUUUUUUUAGCGCAUUAGAUAAGGCGAAUUAAAUUCUCAAACGAUGCGACAAUGGUGGCAAAAAAUGAAUUGAGUUUGCUCAGCGAAAACAAUAAAGCAAUCAGCAUUUGCUGCU